AACGAACGCUGGCGGCGUGCCUAACACAUGCAAGUCGUGCGAGAAAGUUCCUUCGGGAGCGAGUAAAGCGGCGCACGGGUGAGUAACACGUAGGUAACCUGCCCCCCAGUCUGGAACAACUAGAGGAAACUCUAGCUAAUGCCGGAUGAGACCACGAUCCCUUCGGGGGUUGCGGCCAAAGAUGGCCUCUACUUGUAAGCUAUCGCUGAGGGAUGGGGCCUGCGGGCCAUUAGGCUUGUUGGUGAGGUAACGGCUCACCAAGGCUGUGAUGGCUAGCUGGUCUGAGAGGAUGACCAGCCACACUGGGACUGAGACACGGCCCCA
This 324-nucleotide ribosomal RNA is filed under the name uncultured bacterium. RNAcentral's name for it is "bacterial SSU rRNA". It matches the Rfam family "Bacterial small subunit ribosomal RNA", at positions 29 to 333 of the family's 1533-position model. The record is from RNAcentral.